Molecule: non-coding RNA, 2603 nt
Organism: Phoenix dactylifera (date palm)
Lineage: Eukaryota; Viridiplantae; Streptophyta; Magnoliopsida; Arecales; Arecaceae
Source: RefSeq, a predicted model, not a curated record
UAGUUUUUUGGGACUUUGCUCCAAAUUCCUAUUUGAAAAGGACCUUUUUGCAAAAGGGGCAUAAUAAGUUAUUUCUUUCAUGCUUUCAGCUGGGCCCCUCUUCUUUUGGGUUAACAGGUUUUCUUUGGGACCGUGGCUUCUCGGUUCCUUAUAUAAGGCAGCAAGUUUUUUUUUUUAGGGUACUGUGAGGAAGGACCCUGAUCGCCGCCCCCUGCUCUCUUGCUCUCGGUCUUUUGCUCUUGGUGUUCCAGCUUCAAAAGACAUCUUCUUCCGCUCGCUGGGGACUCUUCAUCUUCAGCCGUGACUCCUCACAGUGGGCCUCUUGUUUCCGUGAACCCUCUUUCUUCUUUGCUGUUCACAGCAUAUGCAACAAGGGAAGGGUACUGUGAGGAAGGACCUUGAUCGCCGCCCCCUGCUCUCUUGCUCUCGGUCUUUUUCUCUUGGUGUUCCAGCUUCAAAAGACAUCUUCUUCCGCUCGCUGGGGACUCUUCAUCUUCAGCCGUGACUCCUCACAGUGGGCCUCUUGUUUCCGUGAACCCUCUUUCUUCUUUGCUGUUCACAGCAUAUGCAACAAGGGAAGGUAUGAUUUUGAUAUUUAUUUGAUCUACCAUUGGAGCCGUAGAAAGGUAGCUUUGCAUACUACACUUUUGAUCUAUCAUUGUGGCUGCAGAAGGGUUGAUCCGAUCAGGUUGUUUUGCCUUAUAUUUGGUUUAUUUUUGCCUCCUAUUGUGAUCAUUUGGCAGUCCAUAUUUUGGGCUUUUAUGUAUCUUUGUUUGUACCCUAUUGGGAAGAUUGACAUAGUGGAUUGCUCUUCCUCCCCGUGGAUGUAGGCACUUGCUGCCGAACCACGUAAAUCUGGUAUCUUUGUGCUUGUCUAUUCAUGCCUGUGAUGUGUUUGGUAAAAUGCCUGAAUGAGAGUAACUGUUAAUUGUUAAGCCGGAUAGAUUAAUUAUUGUGCCCAAGUAAUCACAACAAAAAUGUCUGCAAGUUCCUGAAUGAAGUGGUAGCAAAAGAAUAGAUCUCUAUCGUGGAAAAUGUAGACUUGUCAUAGAACAUCAUGGUAGCUUCUUGCUUCUCUUAUACAUUUGAUAGGAUCCUUUUGAGCUUAUACCAUGGGACAUGCCAUACUUGUGGCCACAGCGUACUUGAAUCUAGAGCUUGAGAGAGCAAUGGAGCGUUGAUUCUUUGUUGCCCAGGAUAUCACCCCAGACUGAAGACUUAUAGCAAAAACAGACGUGCAUCUUUUGUCGUCUGCAGAACCAAUACAAUCACAAUCAGUAUAAGAAACAAGCUUGAAUCCUUUACUUGUCCAUAUCAAAUUCCACAAUCCAGUGUUCCUAGGGCAUAUUGUAGUACUCUUUCAGCUGCACCAAGAUGAUCCUUUCUUGGAUUAUGAAUAAAUCUAGAUAACAAGUUCAUUGCACAAAUAAUACCUGUCUUGGAGGGAGUCAAAUAAAUCAGUCCUCCAAUCAAGUUUUCGCAGUACUUCUGGUUUACUUUAGCAAGUCCAUCUAAAACAAACUUUUCAUUUUUUAUUCAAGCGAGUUUUUUACAGGUUUAUAACUUGACUUAUAGAAUGUUAUCAAUAAAUCACAGGCAUAUUUUUCUUGGAAUAAAAAUUUUAUUAGCAUAUUGAAUAAUUUCAUCCCUGAAAAGAAAAUGUAAAACACCUAAGUUUGUCAUUUCAAAUUCUAACAUGAAAAUUUUCCCUGAAUUCGUUAAUAAUUCCCAUUAACAAAUAUCAUAUAAUUAACAUAAAAACAAACUAGGAGAAUUUUCAUACCUUCGGAUCUUACAAUGGAUGUUUGCUCACUUUUACUUUUUCUAAACUUGUUUUAAGGAAGCAUCUGUCAAUCUUACUAUACCGUGCCAUGGAUUCUAUUUUAGUCCAGAUAAAGCUUUCUUCAAAUUAUACACUUGAUGCUCCUUCCUUUUUACUUCAAAACCUAGAAGCCAUUGAACAUACGCUUUUCUUGCAACUCUCCAUUUCAAAAAAAAUGCAGAUACACCUACUAUCCCUUUUGUGUUUCCUAGGCUAACACGGUUUUCAUGGUAUCGAUUCCUGCAAUAGGAGAAAAUGUCUCCAUGAAAUCAAUACUUGGAAUUAAUGCAUACGCUUAAGCAAUGAACCAAGCUUUAUACCUUUAAAGUGAUCGAUUAAAUUGGAUUUGCAUUUGUAGAUCCAUUUGUACCAAUGACCUCUUUUCCUUGGGAUAGAUAAUUAGGUCUUCCUAUUCUGUUCCUUUCAAUCACAUCCAUUUCUUUAUAAUUGCAUCUUCAAAACAAGUAGAUUCCAAAGCAAAACUAGCAAAAUCACAAGAUUGAUAUAUAUAUCAACAAGACUUUGGAUUUUCCUUACGAGAGAUUCUAUGUCACUUGAGGAUGGAGAAUCAUGGUCAACAGGCAUAUAAUCAAUAGGAGAGGUCUAAUUACAAGGUCGAACCUCGCAAGAUGAGUCAACAUUCUAAUCUACAAUCAAAGAAGAAUUUUCUAUCCUAUUUCCCAAUUCCAUGUAUCAAUUUUGGCGAAAUAACAUCACGAUUGACGAUCAAUUUUUUAUCAACAACAUUAUAAAGUUUAUAGCCUUCUGUUUCAUCACUAUA